RNAcentral lists this ribosomal RNA (253 nucleotides) under uncultured bacterium. RNAcentral describes it as "partial 16S ribosomal RNA". It matches the Rfam family "Bacterial small subunit ribosomal RNA", at positions 524 to 776 of the family's 1533-position model. The record is from RNAcentral.
UACGGAGGGUGCUAGCGUUGUUCGGAAUCACUGGGCGUAAAGGGCGUGUAGGCGGUCUGUUAAGUCUGAUGUGAAAUCCCCUCGCUCAACGAGGGAACUGCGUCGGAUACUGGCAGACUUGAGUACCGGAGAGGAAGGUGGAAUUCCAGGUGUAGCGGUGAAAUGUGUAGAGAUCGGGAGGAACACCGGUGGCGAAGGCGGGUCUCCGGGCAAUUCCUGACGCUGAGGCGCGAAAGCGUGGGGAGCAAACGGG